GAUGAACGCUGGCGGCGUGCCUAAUACAUGCAAGUCGAGCGAACGGACGAGAAGCUUUCUGCUCGGAGGGUAGCGGCGGACGGGUGAUGAACACGUGGAUAACCUACCUAUAAGACUGUGAUAACUUCGGGAAGCCGGAGCGGAUACCGCAGAAUAUUUUGAACCUGUUGGUUCAAGGGUCAAAGACGGUCUUUGUGUCGCUUGUAGAUGGAUCCGCGCUGCAUUAGCUAGUUGGUAAGGUAAUGGCUUACCAAGGCAACGAUGCAUAGCCGACCUGAGAGGGGGAUCGGCCACCAUAGAACUGAGACACGGUCGAGAAUCCUACGGGAGGCAGCAGUAGGGAAUAAUACGCAACGGGCGAAAGCAUGACGGAGCAACGACGCGUGGGUGAUGAAGGUCUUCGGAUCGUAAAAAUCUGUUAUUAGGGAAGAACCUAUGUGUCAGUAACUGUGCACAUCUUGACGGUACCUGAUCAGAAAGCCCCGGCUAACUACGUG
This 497-nucleotide ribosomal RNA is filed under the name uncultured bacterium. Its description in RNAcentral is "partial 16S ribosomal RNA". It matches the Rfam family "Bacterial small subunit ribosomal RNA", at positions 28 to 507 of the family's 1533-position model. The record is from RNAcentral.